UACGUAGGUGGCAAGCGUUGUUCGGAAUAACUGGGCGUAAAGGAUGCGUAGGCGGUUAAACAAGUUAUAUGUUAAAUAUAUAGGCUUAACCUGUAGAAAGCAUAUAAAACUGUUUAACUAGAGUGCAGGAGAGGUAAGUGGAAUUCCUAGUGUAGCGGUGAAAUGCGUAGAGAUUAGGAAGAACACCAGUGGCGAAGGCGACUUACUGGACUGUAACUGACGCUGAGGCAUGAGAGCAUGGGGAGCGAACAGG
Molecule: ribosomal RNA, 253 nt
Filed under: uncultured bacterium
Lineage: Bacteria
Description: partial 16S ribosomal RNA
Rfam family: Bacterial small subunit ribosomal RNA
Source: RNAcentral